This 253-nucleotide ribosomal RNA is filed under the name uncultured bacterium. Its description in RNAcentral is "partial 16S ribosomal RNA". It matches the Rfam family "Bacterial small subunit ribosomal RNA", at positions 524 to 776 of the family's 1533-position model. The record is from RNAcentral.
UACGUAGGGUGCGAGCGUUAAUCGGAAUUACUGGGCGUAAAGCGUGCGCAGGCGGUUCGUUAAGUCAGAUGUGAAAGCCCCGGGCUCAACUCCGAAACUGCAUUCGAUACUGCGGUGCUUGAGGACUGGAGAGGAGACUGGAAUUCAUGGUGUAGCAGUGAAAUGCGUAGAGAUCAUGAGGAAGACCAGUGGCGAAGGCGGGUCUCUGGACAGUUCCUGACACUGAGGCACGAAGGCCAGGGGAGCAAACGGG